UGGGGUAUGGCCAAGAGGUAAGGCACUGAACUUUGACUUCAGUAUGCGUAGGUUCGAAUCCUACUACCCCAG
Molecule: transfer RNA, 72 nt
Filed under: Tetrabaena socialis
Lineage: Eukaryota; Viridiplantae; Chlorophyta; Chlorophyceae; Chlamydomonadales; Tetrabaenaceae
Description: tRNA-Gln
Rfam family: tRNA
About the family: Transfer RNA (tRNA) molecules are approximately 80 nucleotides in length.
Source: RNAcentral